UACAGAGGGGGCAAGCGUUGUUCGGAAUUACUGGGCGUAAAGGGCGCGUAGGCGGCCUUCUAAGUCGAACGUGAAAUCCCCGGGCUCAACCCGGGAACUGCGUCCGAGACUGGAAGGCUCGAAUCCGGGAGAGGGAUGUGGAAUUCCAGGUGUAGCGGUGAAAUGCGUAGAUAUCUGGAGGAACACCGGUGGCGAAGGCGACAUCCUGGACCGGUAUUGACGCUGAGGCGCGAAAGCCAGGGGAGCAAACGGG
Molecule: ribosomal RNA, 253 nt
Filed under: uncultured bacterium
Lineage: Bacteria
Description: partial 16S ribosomal RNA
Rfam family: Bacterial small subunit ribosomal RNA
Source: RNAcentral